CUCUUCUUGAAUAUAUUUUGAUGUAUGGCCUGCCCACUGAGUAUUGAAGGGCCGCGGUAUUUUGACCGUGCAAAGGUAGCAUAAUCAUUAGUCUUUUAAUUGUAGGCUGGAAUGAAUGGUUUGACGAGGUGUAAACUGUCUUUAAUUUAUUUAUUGAAUUUAAAUUUUAGGUUAAAAUGCCUAAAUAUUUUUUUGGGACGAGAAGACCCUAUAGAGUUUAUAUAUAUUUUUAUUUUUUUGUAUGAUAUUUUUUUAAUUUGAAAAUUUAUUUUGUUGGGGUGAUGGAAAGAUUUAAUUAACUCUUUUUAUUUUUUUAUAUUUAUUUAUAUAUAUUUGAUCCAUUUUUGUUGAUUAUAAGACUAAAUUACCUUAGGGAUAACAGCGUAAUUCUUUUUGAGAGUUCUUAUUGACAAAAGAUUUUGCGA
This 425-nucleotide ribosomal RNA is filed under the name Cryptocercus kyebangensis. Its description in RNAcentral is "partial 16S ribosomal RNA". The record is from RNAcentral. Lineage: Eukaryota; Metazoa; Arthropoda; Insecta; Blattodea; Cryptocercidae.